AGAGGGUUUUGAUUAUUGGUUUUUCUGUUUUAAGGGUUUCGAUUGAAUUGAUUUUUUGGGUUCAUGCUUGAUGUAUUUGUACGAUUAUUAUAUUUAUUUUUUUUGAUUUCAGUAACAAAUAUUUGGGUUUAUGUAUAUUUGUUUUUAGGGUUUUCUGUUCUUAGGGUUUGGACUAAUUGUUUAUUUUUGAAGUAAUCGAUGAUAGGGUUUCCAUUGUAGGGUUAAAUUGAUGUUAGGGUUAAUUUUAUUUCUAGGUUUUCUAUUUUUGUUCAUUGAUUUGUAGGGUUUUGUCUAUAUUCCAUCAUUGGGUUUUCAUAUGUUUAGUAAAUUGAUAUAGGGUUCUCUGUAUAUGUAUUGUAAUCCUUGUAUGUGUAUUCCCGUGUUUCGAGAAUUUUCACUCAUGACUUGCUUUAGCACUCACUAGUUGUCAGUAUAUUCAGAUGGUUUUUUAACAUCCACUAAACGACCAUUGCGAAGAACAGAUUUGUAAAUACAGCCAUGACCGUCCUUACCCAGUAUUUUCUGUUCAGAGAAAUUGUUGGUUGCUAGUUGGAGGUCUUUGUACUGAAUUCUUCGUACUUAAUGGGUUUUUCUAGUUUUGAUUCUUCUUCUUCUUUUUUCUUGGUGGGUUUGUUUUUUGUGGUGGAAUUUGAAGUUAAGAGGCAUUGCUCUUACUUGUGACACUAAUUAGUAAUUACUGGAAGGAAUCAACUUAUAAGUCUCCUUUACAUGAUAUAAGGGAUUGCUAGUACAAUGGGUGUGCAAAAGGACCAGUUGGAGGAAAUCCUAAGUGAUUCAAGCCCAUGACCUGUGUUGAUGGCACAAAGAAGACAACAACUGAAGCUCCACCAAAGAGAAAGUACAAAGCUAAAGUUGCUGCAUAUUAUGGAGGUGCAUCUGGAGCAAAUUCUCAACCUUGUGCCAGCAGAUCUAAGACACAAACAAGUGUUGCUCAAUCUUCCCAACCAGCUGCAACAUAUUCUGCAAACCAAAAGGUGUUAAGAGAAAGGCAGGUGAUGGAUCUUGUUCUCAGGCCACUUUCAGUCAGAAAAACACCGAUGUUGGAUCUGUUAACAACCAUAUUACUUUUACAGCUCCAGACCCAAAAGGAAAGAAGAAAGCUGGGAAAUAUAUGAAGCUUUAGAUCUGUCUCUUUUAUGUUUGUGUUUGUGAUGACUCGGUUUUUCUGUUUGUUAUGCGACUUAUAUUGAGACAAUUUCUGGAAUGUUAUGUACAUUUGUUAAAUAGACAGUCUUUAUUUAAAGUUGGCUGCAGUUACAUUUGUAGAUUUUUCA
Papaver somniferum (opium poppy) is the source of this 1295-nucleotide long non-coding RNA. RefSeq lists it as uncharacterized. Lineage: Eukaryota; Viridiplantae; Streptophyta; Magnoliopsida; Ranunculales; Papaveraceae. The record is from RefSeq and is a predicted model, not a curated record. The transcript has 2 exons.